RNAcentral lists this ribosomal RNA (496 nucleotides) under uncultured bacterium. RNAcentral's name for it is "partial 16S ribosomal RNA". It matches the Rfam family "Bacterial small subunit ribosomal RNA", at positions 29 to 507 of the family's 1533-position model. The record is from RNAcentral.
AUGAACGCUGGCGGCGUGCCUAAUACAUGCAAGUCGAGCGAACGGACGAGAAGCUUGCUUCUCUGAUGUUAGCGGCGGACGGGUGAGUAACACGUGGAUAACCUACCUAUAAGACUGGGAUAACUUCGGGAAACCGGAGCUAAUACCGGAUAAUAUUUUGAACCGCAUGGUUCAAAAGUGUAAGACGGUCUUGCUGUCACUUAUAGAUGGAUCCGCGCUGCAUUAGCUAGUUGGUAAGGUAACGGCUUACCAAGGCAACGAUGCAUAGCCGACCUGAGAGGGUGAUCGGCCACACUGGAACUGAGACACGGGACAGACUCCUACGGGAGGAAGCAGUAGGGAAUCUUCCGCAAUGGGCGAAAGCCUGACGGAGCAACGCCGCGUGAGUGAUGAAGGUCUUCGGAUCGUAAAACUCUGUUAUUAGGGAAGAACAUAUGUGUAAGUAACUGUGCACAUCUUGACGGUACCUAAUCAGAAAGCCACGGCUAACUACGUG